GAGGGAGACAGGGGAGAAGAGGGGGAGUCUCAAGGUUGCAGGAGGCAGCCAGGAGCACUUAUGGAUUGAGGCAAAGGGCACGGUCUGAGAUGAGCUCUGACUGCUUCAUUGGGAAUUCUCCUCAGGAAUACAUUGCAUUUUUAGUCAUCUCUAAUUGCUUUUUAUUUGAAACUGUGUCACAGACAACAAUCUGCUUGUGAUGUACAUCUUCAAUUAGAGAGUUACGCUGUCUGCUGGCUGACUCAAACAAGUGGAGUGACUGCAUCAUUUAUUCUGCUGACUGGUGGCAGAACUGAAAAAGCUUCUUGGAUAAGAGGUGUAAUGUUGUCAACUCUACAACUUCAAUAAAGUCGCAUCCGUUACAGAGUAAGAACGACAGUCAUAUGAAAAAGUCCUGAUGAACCAUGUGAAAAUGGAGUAGAAGAGAGUCGCCAAAUCAGCAGCUGCAGCAGAGAAGAAGCUGCUGGUGUGUCUGCGGCCGCAGAAGGGCAGAGCUCCAGAGAGGUGACACUCAGCUGACAUUCUGGAAAAUAAUCAUGUUCUAGAUGUAUACGUUCACUGGCCGAGUGUUAGGGGGUAUAAGGGGUGCGGUCGCAUCCAGGCCAGGGCUAGCAGUUAAUGAACAGUACAAAAAUUACAACUUAAGGUCAUUUAGACUGACACUUAGAGGGAGGAGUUAAAGAGUUUGAUGGCCACAGGCAGGAAUGACUUCCUGUGGUGCUCUGUGGUACAUUUUGGGGGGAGUCUUUUGCUGAAGGUACUCCUUUGUUUGACCAGCAUGUCAUGGAAUGGGUGGGAGACACUGUCCAAGAUGGCACGUAGUUUAGCCAGCAUCCUCCUCUCUGACACCACCGCCAGAGAGUCCAGCUCAA
Long non-coding RNA from Siniperca chuatsi (mandarin fish), 872 nucleotides. RefSeq lists it as uncharacterized. Lineage: Eukaryota; Metazoa; Chordata; Actinopteri; Centrarchiformes; Sinipercidae. The record is from RefSeq and is a predicted model, not a curated record. The transcript is spliced from 3 exons.